AUUUCGCACGUCUAUUCUUUUCUUUCACGUAUUUCACCAAGUUCACGCAUUUCCCUGUGAAAAAAAAUGCAUCUUUCUAUUUCUUGUCACCCGCUUAGGUUUAGCUUGUUCCAAUACCAAGGCGACUCCACAAAAUGGUAGCUACUACGGCACUUCUCCACAAACCCACCUUCAAACUUUCUCUCUCUUAUCCUUCUAACCUCCGUACCUUCAAACCCACUCUGCUUCUACGACUUCCAGCUUCAAGAUCUGUUUUCUUUGGUGCGUUUGGUUCCAAGAAAGGCGUGUCGAAGACCUCCAUGACUGAGCUGUUCAAAACUUCUGCUUUUAGGGAUGAUGAUGGUGAGAAAAAUGUCAGAAUGUUUCAACAAGAAGCUUUAGUAAAGGAACCCUCUAAGUUUUCUUCCGAAUUGACGGCUGAGGGAUUGGAACGCACUCUCAAUCGUUUGAGCAAGUGGUUUGUAUCUUUCUUGUUUGGUGCUGUCAUUCUUUGGAGGCAUGAUGCUGAGUCCAUGUGGAUUGCUAUGGGGUCUGUAUUAAAUGCUAUCCUUUCAGUAACACUCAAACGGAUAUUCAAUCAAGAGAGACCUUUUCCAUCGGCAAAUUCUGAUCCCGGGAUGCCAUCUUCACAUGCACAAUCUAUCUUCUACACUGUUGUGUUUUGCAUUCUUUCAAUUACAGAAUGGUUUGGAGUAAAUGAAUUUACCUUGAUCAUAAAUGCACUCACCUUGGUAUUUGGCUCAUAUUUUUAAAGUGAGAAUGGACUGGUUGCUGAUGCUUAUCUGUGUCAUCUGUUUUUGUAGUCAUGGCUAUCAUGGCUACGGGUAUCACAACGAUAUCAUACAACCAGCCAAGUUGUGGUUGGUGCUGCUGUUGGGUCCCUAUUCUCAUUUUUGUGGUAUUGGUCAUGGCAAUCCAUUGUGCUGGAAGCAUUUGUUUCCUCCUUGACAGUUCGAAUAAUUGUCAUUCUGGCAGCUUCUACAUUCUGCCUAGGCUUUCUUUUAUAUGUGAUUCGCCAUUGGCUUAAGGAUGAAGAAUGAAAUUAUUUUAUGGGGAUAAAGGUAACUGCAAGCUGACUGAAUUCCUUUUUGGAAUUACAUUAUGGAAUCACAUUUGUUGUUUCUGAUUCAGUACAGUCAACUGGGUUUUGCCAUGAGGCUCAAUAGAAUCCUCUGUCAUGAGAUGCUGAAUACUUGGUGGUUGAUCAGAUUAGCUUUCUUCCUUUUUCCUUGCUUUGAGACUUAAAUUAUUUGGUGGUUGAUCAAAUCAAAUCUGAU
RNAcentral lists this unclassified non-coding RNA (1277 nucleotides) under Hevea brasiliensis (rubber tree). The record is from RNAcentral. Lineage: Eukaryota; Viridiplantae; Streptophyta; Magnoliopsida; Malpighiales; Euphorbiaceae.